Long non-coding RNA from Oncorhynchus tshawytscha (Chinook salmon), 822 nucleotides. The record is from Ensembl. Lineage: Eukaryota; Metazoa; Chordata; Actinopteri; Salmoniformes; Salmonidae.
GUGAGAUCGGGUAAAGAGAGAUGGGGGAGAAAGAGGUGAGAACGGGGAAAGAGAGUGGGGAGAAAGAGGUGAGAAUGGGAAAGAUAGAUGGGGAGAAAGAGGUGAGAACGAGGAAAGAGAGGUGGGGGAGAAAGAGGUGAGAAGGGGAAAGAGAGAUGGGGAGAAAGAGGUGAGAUAGGGAAAAGAGAGAUGGGGAGAAAGAGGUGAGAAUGGGUAAAGAGAGAUGGGGGAGAAAGAGGUGAGAAAGGGGAAAGAGAGAUGGGGGAGAAAGAGGUGAGAAUGAGGAAAGAGAGAUGGGGGAGAAAGAGGUGAGAACGAGGAAAAAGAGAUGGGGGAGAAAGAGAGAGACAGAGAAUGAGAGGUGGGGGGAGAAAGAGGUGAGAACGGGGAAAGAGAGAUGGGGAGAAAGAGGUGAGAUCAGGGAAAAAGAGGUGGGGGAGAAAGAGGUGAGAUCGGGUAAAGAGAGAUGCGGGAGAAAGAGGUGAGAAUGGGGAAAGAGAGAUAGGGAGAAAAAGGUGAGAACGAGGAAAGAGAGUUGGGGGAGAAAGAGGUGAGAUCGGGGAAAGAGAGAUGGGGAGAAAGAGGUGAGAACGAGGAAAGAGAGAUGGGGAGAAAGAGGUGAGAUCGGGGAAAGAGAGGUGGGUUGAGAAAGAGGUGAGAACGGGGAAAGAGAGAUGGGGAGAAAGAGGUGAGAUCGGGGAAAGAGAGGUGGGUUGAGAAAGAGGUGAGAACGGGGAAAUAGAGGUUGGGAGCUAGCGGUGAGAACGGGGAAAGAGAGAUGGGGGAGAAAGAGGUGAGAACGGGGAAAAGAGAGAUGGGGAG